UACGGAGGGUGCAAGCGUUAUCCGGAUUCACUGGGUUUAAAGGGUGCGUAGGCGGGCAGGUAAGUCCGUGGUUGAAAUCUCUGAGCUUAACUCAAGAAACCUGCCAUGGGAUACUAUUUGUCUUGAAUAAUUGUGGAGGUAAGCGGAAGUAUGUCAUGUAGCGGUGAAAUGACUUAGAUAUGACAUAGAACACCAAUUGCGAAGGCAGCUUACUACACAGUUAUUGACGCUGAGGCACGAAAGCGUGGGGAUCAAACAGG
This 260-nucleotide ribosomal RNA is filed under the name uncultured bacterium. RNAcentral describes it as "partial 16S ribosomal RNA". It matches the Rfam family "Bacterial small subunit ribosomal RNA", at positions 524 to 776 of the family's 1533-position model. The record is from RNAcentral.